CCUACGGGUGGCAGCAGUGGGGAAUAUUGGACAAUGGGGGGAACCCUGAUCCAGCCAUGCCGCGUGUGUGAAGAAGGCCCUCGGGUUGUAAAGCACUUUCAGUGAGGAAGAACGCCUGGUGGUUAAUACCCAUCAGGAAAGACAUCACUCACAGAAGAAGCACCGGCUAACUCCGUGCCAGCAGCCGCGGUAAUACGGAGGGUGCGAGCGUUAAUCGGAAUUACUGGGCGUAAAGCGCGCGUAGGUGGCUUGAUAAGCCGGUUGUGAAAGCCCCGGGCUCAACCUGGGAACGGCAUCCGGAACUGUCAAGCUAGAGUGCAGGAGAGGAAGGUAGAAUUCCCGGUGUAGCGGUGAAAUGCGUAGAGAUCGGGAGGAAUACCAGUGGCGAAGGCGGCCUUCUGGACUGUCACUGACACUGAGGUGCGAAAGCGUGGGUAGCAAACAGGAUUAGAUACCCUGGUAGUC
This 465-nucleotide ribosomal RNA is filed under the name Vreelandella stevensii. Its description in RNAcentral is "partial 16S ribosomal RNA". It matches the Rfam family "Bacterial small subunit ribosomal RNA", at positions 338 to 795 of the family's 1533-position model. Lineage: Bacteria; Pseudomonadati; Pseudomonadota; Gammaproteobacteria; Oceanospirillales; Halomonadaceae. The record is from RNAcentral.